This is a long non-coding RNA of Ochotona princeps (American pika), 451 nucleotides long. RefSeq lists it as uncharacterized. The transcript has 3 exons. Lineage: Eukaryota; Metazoa; Chordata; Mammalia; Lagomorpha; Ochotonidae. The record is from RefSeq and is a predicted model, not a curated record.
GUGACAGCAGGACUUGGGAUGAGAACAUCCUGAGUUAUGCAGCUGUCAACUCAUGGUAAAAGGAAGGACACAUCCUUGUCAUUAGAGGCUGUCACUGUUUCCUGGGGCUGAGAUCUAAGAGGAAUGCAUCACAUGGCUCCUAAGUCAGUUUCCAACACUGGAGUGGAUCCAGUUUCUGAUAUGAGUUAACCAGAGGAAGGUCAAAGCAUCUCCAGCCUUGGGAGCUCAGAGCCUGGUCCUGGCUCUGGCCCUGGAUGGAACUCACACAAUCAAUGCCAACAAAGAAAGUGAAGGGAGUUGAGCAGCCUUGACCUGACAUUGGGUCUCAUGGUGUCAACAUCCCACCUUCUCUGGCUCAUUUGCAAAGAGCCAUUGGCAACAGGCCACCAUGCAAUCAGCUCUGAGAUUCCUGGGACUCAAGGGCAGAGUCCCUGAGCAGCAAGAGAACACA